AUUGAACGCUGGCGGCGUGCCUAAUACAUGCAAGUCGAACGCAGUGGGGACGGGUGAGUAACACGUGGGUAACCUCCCAUCAGAGGGGAUAACACUUGGAAACAGGUGCUAAACCGAUACUGAUGGAUGGACCCGCGGUGCAUUAGCUAGUUGGUGAGGUAACGGCCCACCAAGGCGAUGAUCAGUAGCCGGUCUGAGAGGAGGACCAGCCACACGUGGACUGAGACACGGCCCAGACUCCUACGGGAGGCAGCAGUGGGGAAUUUUGGAAAAUGGGGGAAACCCUGAUCCAGCCAUCCCGCGUGUGCGAUGAAGGCCUUCGGGUUGUAAAGCACUUUUGGCAGGAAAGCGGUACCUGCAGAAUAAGCACCGGCUAACUACGUGCCAGCCGCCGCGGUAAUUC
This 403-nucleotide ribosomal RNA is filed under the name uncultured bacterium. RNAcentral's name for it is "partial 16S ribosomal RNA". It matches the Rfam family "Bacterial small subunit ribosomal RNA", at positions 30 to 526 of the family's 1533-position model. The record is from RNAcentral.